CAACUACUCCCUCUGUCCCAAAUUUCUUGUCUUAGAUUUGUCUAGAUACGGAUGUAUCUAAUACUAAAAUGUGACUUGAUACAUCCGUAUCUAGACAAAUCUAAGACAAAAAUUUUGGGACGGAGGGAGUACUUU
This is a non-coding RNA of Triticum aestivum (bread wheat), 135 nucleotides long. Lineage: Eukaryota; Viridiplantae; Streptophyta; Magnoliopsida; Poales; Poaceae. The record is from Rfam.